Molecule: ribosomal RNA, 355 nt
Filed under: uncultured bacterium
Lineage: Bacteria
Description: bacterial SSU rRNA
Rfam family: Bacterial small subunit ribosomal RNA
Source: RNAcentral
AGAGUUUGAUCCUGGCUCAGGAUGAACGCUAGCUACAGGCUUAACACAUGCAAGUCGAGGGGAAACGACAUCGAAAGCUUGCUUUUGAUGGGCGUCGACCGGCGCACGGGUGAGUAACGCGUAUCCAACCUGCCCACCACUUGGGGAUAACCUUGCGAAAGUAAGACUAAUACCCAAUGACGUCUCUAGAAGACAUCUGAAAGGGAUUAAAGAUUUAUCGGUGAUGGAUGGGGAUGCGUCCGAUUAGCUUGUUGGCGGGGUAACGGCCCACCAAGGCUACGAUCAGUAGGGGUUCUGAGAGGGAACGGUCCCCCACAUUGGAACUGAGACACGGUCCAAACUCCUACGGGAGGCA